This 347-nucleotide unclassified non-coding RNA is filed under the name Hevea brasiliensis (rubber tree). The record is from RNAcentral. Lineage: Eukaryota; Viridiplantae; Streptophyta; Magnoliopsida; Malpighiales; Euphorbiaceae.
GUUGAGUUGAGUUGAGAGAGAGAGAGAGUAGAAAUAUUUCUCUAGUUUUGAGAGAAUUUUGAUGCUGAUUUUGUGUUUGAGAGACCGAAAAGUGUCGGUUGCUACUUUCCUCCUUAGCCCAGUAUUUUGAAAUUUUGUUCUGGCAGUGAUUUUUGUUUUUCCCUUUCCCUUUUCUUUUGGUAAAAGUAUCUGACAUGGAUAUAUGUCGAAGUGUCUGAUUCAUCCAAAAGUCAAAACAUAGGACACAUGGACACACAUUCAAAUGGGGUACGUUAUGUACGAUAACAAUGAUGAACAUAUGAUAUUGAUUUCUUGUCAUAAUCAUUAUUGCCUUUGUCAUGAUGCCA